This 252-nucleotide ribosomal RNA is filed under the name uncultured bacterium. Its description in RNAcentral is "partial 16S ribosomal RNA". It matches the Rfam family "Bacterial small subunit ribosomal RNA", at positions 524 to 776 of the family's 1533-position model. The record is from RNAcentral.
UACGGGGGGGCAAGCGUUGUUCGGAAUUACUGGGCGUAAAGGGCUUGUAGGCGGCCAACUAAGUCAUACGUGAAAUCCCUCGGCUUAACCGGGGAACUGCGUCUGAUACUGGAUGGCUUGAGAUUGGGAGAGGGAUGCGGAAUUCCAGGUGUAGCGGUGAAAUGCGUAGAUAUCAGGAGGAACAUCGAUGGCGAAGGCAGCCCCUUGGACCUGUACUGACGCUCAUGCACGAAAGCGUGGGGAGCAAACAGG